RNAcentral lists this long non-coding RNA (8778 nucleotides) under Homo sapiens (human). Its description in RNAcentral is "HSALNT0024062". Lineage: Eukaryota; Metazoa; Chordata; Mammalia; Primates; Hominidae. The record is from RNAcentral.
AACACCACCUGCCAACAUUCAGCCUCCUCUGCCCAUCAGCCUUGCUGACACAGGGAGUGGAGAUUUGUGUAGAGAAAUGACUCAUUCAAAUAUGACUUAAUCUAAACCGUAAGUGUAUGAUUUAUUAAUGUGCCACCAGGCCUUACACCAAGAGAGCCAUUCCAGAGAAAAGUCCUUUUUCUCCUGAGAACAGUGCCAGCAGCUGGCUUCGUGACAUUCUGGAAGCCCCGUGCAAUGCUGUCAGGAGCAUAGGGAUUUUACUUUAUCUCCCUUGCUUAUGCUCCACAUAACUGAAAUAUCUCACUGGAAGCUGCAGCAGUGCUGGCCCCUUGCACAGCCAUAUGUGACCACUGCAGAACAAUCAGUUGGAGAGACAGUUUGGACUACAUGGAGGGUGGAGAUAAGGACAAAGUGAAGAAUACACAGGAACCAGUGCCUCCUCCUGGAACUAUGCAACUCCAAGCUGCUUCCAUCAGCUGCUAGGUCCAGUAGGGAGGGACCUACUGAGAGAAGGUGCCUGCUUCCCUUUCCGCUGUGAUUGUAAGUUUCCUGAGGCCUCCUCAGCCAUGUGGAACUGUGAGUCAAUGAAACCUGUUUCCUUUAUAAAUUACUCAGUCUCUGGUAUUCCUUUAUAGCAGUGUGAAAAUGGACUAAUAUACUUGCCCUUCAUCCCAACGAUGGAUUUAAGACUAGAGACAUUUCAAAUAGUAGGUUUUUUGCCAAAUGCCUUUCGCUGUAGAAAUUCUAUACAUGGCCUUUGUCUGUUACACUGGAAGUCCUGCCACUUCUUAGAUGGUGGAGAUUAAAACAGCGAUUUCUUGUGGUGGUGGCGGGGCUGGGGUUGGGAACAUUGAGGAUAAGGUGGGAGCUGCCCAUCUCAGACACUACUGAGAUAGUGGGAUGGGCCACAUAAAUGUCUAUGGAAGAGAUGCCUUUGCCAUACAAUUCCUUCAACAAAUACUCAUUGAUCACACACCAUAUCUGGGGGUGUAGCUGAGAACAAAACAAAGCUCCUGUUUUGAGGAGCUUUAGGCUGUAGAGAAAACAGAAAAUAAACAAGCAAGCAAAUGGAUGUUUUUAAGUGGCAAAAGUGCUAUAAAGGAAACAAGUAGUGGGAUGAGAUGAGGGGAGGAGAACUUCAGGUAAGGUGGCAUCAGAGCAGGAAGCUGAACUGAGGGUGAGUGAGCUGAGCUCAACAGAAAGGACUGUUGGACUGAGCCAGCCACAUGGAGAUCUGGAGAAGGGAAGAGGGCACUACCAUUUUGUUUUUGUUUUUUAUUGGAUUUAAGACGUCACUAUUGUACCUCUAAAAGAAAAAAAAAAACUGUAAUUAUAAUUGUAAAUUACAAAAUUGAUUGUAAAACACAUUUUGAUAACAAUGAAUUAAAAUAUGUUAAAUUACAUGCCUUAGCAUCAAUAUAUUAGUUCAAAAGCCCAGAAGUGUUAAACAAGCUUAGUGCUUAUCUAAGCAACUGAAAAGAAUCUGAUAUGUUUAUAGUUGGUGAAUGACAGAGAAAAAGAUAUGAGGUUUCAGGGGGGCAAAAGGAUAAAUCUUGAGGUCUUAGUUUAAUUAAAAACGGGUGAUGAUACCAUUUACUGAGAUAGGAGAGAUUUCAGGUUGCCAAGAUGUCAAUUUCAGACAUAUUUUAUAUAUGUUAAGUGACAAUUAAGAGAAGGAGGGUUAAAAGGAGACUUAAGAUUCAGUGAAAACUCAAGGUUUAUGAAGACUUUUGCUCCAUAUCCAUCAGGAAACCAGAAAUCCCUGAAAUUAAUAGCUGAAUAAAUAGAAUAAGGUCAACAUUAUUUUUAACACAUAUUUUUAUGUCAUAUGCAUACUAUGUCACCAUAAUCAGUAAACUGUUAAAGUGCCAGAAAAUGCUUCUACAUCAUUUUCAUUCUGACAGGAAGUAGAUAGAAAUGGCAUGUAUCUACGAAGCCAAGUUCUUUCAAAAUUUACAGCUUAAUUUCUCCAAUUGUUUAGAGUGAUAAAUUUUUCACUGAGGCCAUUGACCAGCACAAUAAUUGUGUCUACACAGCAUGUUUAUAUCAAAUACCAUUGCAUCUGUUAUGUCCUGUUCAUGCUGUGACCUUCCCAGAAGGCAGUUAGGGAUUGAAACUAGUACGCACAAUAGUGUAGAUCAGAAAACUGAUGUCAGGCUCUAGUGACAUGUGUAGGUACUGGCAGAACUGGAAUUAGAACCAGAUUUCUACAGUUGCACCCCUGGUUCUUUGCUCCAAAUGCUAAAGCCCUUGGUUAUUUGAUUUUCCUGUUGUCUUUAUCCUAUCCCCAGGCUCUAUUUGGGUUUCUGUAGUGAAAUUAAGGAUAACCUCAUCUGCAUGCUGUACUUUCUUAAAUAGAUUUUUCUAAUCUCCCAUACUCCCACAACCAUAAAUGACAAAAUACAAGCAUGCUUAGGAUCAUUGUGCCCCACAAUAAAAAAAGCUGUUGCUAUGUUUUGGAAACAGAUCAAUCUUGGUAUUUAAGUGUUGUUUGAACAAAGAUUAACUGAGCCUGUUCUCCUCCCCCAGGUACUCAGACCCAGAACAUACUGUUUUCACUCCAAGAGUCUGAAUGUCUCUUUUCUGAGAAAGAUGAAGAAAAACAUUGCCAGAAAACUCAUUUCUCAGUGACACCAUUGUAAUUACUCAUUUGAUUAUCCCGCAAUACACAUAUAAGAGUCUCAGGAAAACAGUACCAUCAGCAUUAUAUGAGCUAAUUAAAAAUGUGGUGUCCUGGACUCACGAAGCCAGAAUUGCUGAGGAGAUAGCCCGAGAAUCUGAAUUUUUAGCAGACAUUUUUUUAGGUACCUUACCCGCAGGAUCAUUUCUGUGAAUAUCCAUGAGGUGAAAAAGUCUGGGAAACACUGUCCUAGACAGGAAACGCCACGAAGUGUCUGGAUCAAAGAACAGACUAUUGCUCACAGAGCACCUUCAUAGCAUUGUUCCUCAUGCCCCCGUUGCCCAAGGGGAUGGCAGGUUGAGGACCAGAUGUACUUGCAUGUUCAGGGGAUGCAGCACAGAAGAGGAACUCCAAAAUUAUUAUUAUUAUUGUUAUUAUUAUUAUUUUUGAGAUGGAGUCUCGCUCUGUCGCCCAGCCUGGAGUGCAGUGGCGUGAUCUCGGCUCACUGCAAGCUCCGCCUCCCGGGUUCACGCCAUUCUCCUGCCUCAGCCUCCCGAGUAGCUGGGACUACAGGCACGCACCGCCACGCCCUGUUAAUUUUUUUUGUAUUUUUUUUUAGUAGAGACAGGGUUUCACCGUGUUAGCCAGGAUGGUCUUGAUCUCCUGACCUCGUGAUCCACCCGCCUCGGCCUCCCAAAGUGCUGGGAUUACAGGCGUGAGCCACCGCGCCCGGCCGAACUCCAAAAUUAUUAAACUCUGAGCGUCUGCAGGUGACUGACACAUCUGCGCUUCCUUUCUUCCAGGGUGUGGGGAAGAGCGAGAAAAAGAUUUCCGCUCUGGAAGGUAAACAAAUACUCUCUGGAGAGAGAAGAGGAAUGUCCCUAGCAGAUGUCUCCAGAGAAGACAAGACUUUAAAUUCCGCCAGGGAAAUAUACAAUGUCUAACUUCUAAGGCACAUUUGCCAUUCAAUCAUGCUUUAACCCACGUUGCCAGAAAUUUUUGCUCACUAGGUUUUGACUGUACAGGAAUGUGAAAAUAUUCAUGAAGAGUUGUUUUCCAAUGCUAAAGAAUUGAUGUGUUUUAACAGUUGAAUUAAUUGUAUUGAUUAUGAUCACACCUACUUUUUAUAUAUCUUCAUUUCUAACGUUUCUGUACAAUCCUGCCUUUCCACCUGAUAUAGUUAGGCCUUGUGUCAUCAACCAAAUCUCAUCUUGAAUUGUAAUCGCCAUAAUCCCCACGUAUUUAGGGAGAGACCUGGAGGGAGGUGUUUGGAUCAUGGGGGCGGUUUCCCGCAUGCUGUUCUCAUGACCAUGAGAGUAAGUUCUCAAGAGAUCUGAUGGUUUUAUAAGCGUCUGUCAUUUCCACUGCUUGCACUUCUGUGUCCUGCCACCUUGUGAAGAAGGACGUGGUUGCUUCCCCUUCCACCAUGAUUGUGUUUCCUGAGGCCUCCCCAGCCUUGCAGAGCUGUGAGUCAAUUAAACCUCUUUCCUUUAUAAAUUACUCAGUCUCUGUAUUCCUCUGCAGCAGUGUGAGAACAGACUAAUACAUCACCACUUUAUUUACUUUACUCUCUCCCCAUACCGAGGUUUUCUACAUUUUCUUUCUAGGUCUCUACAGUUUCUGCAAAGAUCCUUUAUGGAACUCUUAGGGAAGCUGGGAUGUAUAAUAAAUAAAGGGCUCUUUUCUUUGAGUCCCACACCCAUUUUCUGUGUAUAAAAAUCUUCAACUCCACUUUUGUCUGUUCUAUUUAAAUGUGUGCACAUUUCCUUCUAAUGUUGUAUAUGAAAAAGAGACACCUCUUAGCAGUCUUUCAUAGAGCAAAAUUUUUUACUUUGAUAAAAUCUAAUUUAUCAAUAUUUUUAAAUUUUAUGGAUCAAUCAUGCUUUUGAGGUUGAAUUUAAGAAUGCUUUGCCUAGCCCUAGAUCCCAAGUAUCUUUUAAAAAUUAUUUUUCUAAAUGCAUUAUUUAUGUUUUACACUUAAGUCUAUAAUCCAUUUUGAGUCCAUGUGUAAGAUUUAGGUUAAGGUCAAGAUUUAUCUGUUUUUGUUGUUUUCUCUAUAAAUGUCAAUUGCUCCAGCACUAUUUGUUUAAAAGCCAAUCUUUCCUCCGCUGAGUUCUUCCUAUAAGUUUGUCAAAAGUCAAUUUGGCAUCUUUGUAUAAGUUUAUUUCUGGAUUCUCUAUUCUGUUUUAUUGAUCACUGCAUCUAUCCCUCUUGAUUAGCUAGAUAAUAAAUCCUACAAUAAGGUAGAAUUCUUCCCACUUUAUUCAUAUUCAAAAUAUUUUAAAGCUAUUCUAGUUUCUUUUUAUUUCCAUAUAUAUUUUAGGAUAAUCUUAUCUAUAUUUACAACAUAUGUUGCUAGGAUUUUGAUAGAAUUUGUUUUAAAUUUGUGUAUCAAUGUAGGGAAGACCUGACAUCUUUACUAUUACGUUGAUCUUCCAAUCAAUGAAUAUGGUAUAUCUCUCAGUUUAUAGCUAUUGUCUUUAAUUUAUUUCAUCAUGGUUUUUAGUUUUCAGCAGAGAAGCUUUAUACAUGUUUUGUUAUACAUGUAUAACAAAAGAAGCCUUAUACACUGACAUUUUAUAUUUUGAACAAUUGUAAAUGGUAUUGUUUAAAAAUUUUGUUGUCUAUGAUAGAAAUAAAAUUGAUUUUUGUAGGUUUAUCUUGUAACCUAUGACUUGCUGAGCUCGCUCAUUAGUUUUUUUAUUGUGAUAAAAUAUACAUGAGAUAAAUUUCAUCAUUAUAAUCAUUAAGUUUAGACAUCAAUUGCAUUAAGUACAUAAAUGCCUUAUGCAACCAUCAUCUCUAUCCAUCUCCAGACCCUUUGCAUCACCCUAAAAUGAAACUCUGUGCCCAUUAAACAAUAACUCCCCAUUCUGCCCUCACCCCAGCCCUUGGUAAUUACCAUCCUACCUUUUAUCUCUAUAAAUUUAACCAUCCCAGGUAACUCAUAUAAGUGGAAUCAUGCAGUGUUUGUCCUUUUGUAACUGGUUUAUUUCACUUAGCAUGAUGUCUUCAAGGUUUGCCUAUGUCAUAGCAUGUGUCAGAAUUUCAUCCCUUUUUAAACUUAAAUAAUAUUCCACUGUAGGCAUAUGCCACAUUUUGUUUAUUUGUUCAUCUGUUGAUGGGCAUUUGGGUUGUUUCCACCUUUUGGCUACUGUGAAUAAUGCUGCUGUGAUCAUGGGUAUGCAACUGUCUCCUGGAGUCCCUGCUAUCAAUUCUUGUGGGUAUAUACCCAGAAGUGGAAUUGUUGCAACAUAUAGUAAUUCUAUGUUUAAUUUUUUGAGGACCUGCCAUAAUGUUUUCCACAGUAGCUACAUUGUCUUAUAUUCCCAUUAAGAGUUCCAAUUUCCUCACAUCUUCACCAAUACUUAUUGUUUUCUGUUUUUUUAAAUAAUAGCCAUCAUAAUAAAAGUAACAUGGUAUCUCAUUGUGGUUUUAACUGCAUUUCCCUUUUUACUGGAUUGUUUGUAAUAUUGCUGUAAUUGAGUUGUAGGAGUUUUUAAAUAUGUUCUGAAUAAUUAAUUUCUUAUCAGAUAUGUCAUUUGCAAAUAUUUUCUGCCAUUCUCUGGGUUGUCAUUUCACUCUCUUGAUAGUGUCCUUUGAUGCACAGAAGUUUUGAAAUUUGAUAAAGUUUAAUUUGCGUAUGUAUUUAUUUUGUUGCUUAUGCUUUUGGUGUCAUAUCCAAGAAAUUAUUGCCAAAUUCAGUGUCAUGAAGAUUUUCCCCUGUGUUUUCCUCUAAGAGUAUUAUAGUUUUAACUCUUGCACUUAGAUUGAUCCGCUUUGAGUUAAUUUUAGUAUAUGGGGUAAGACAAGGGCUCAAAUUUGUUCUUUUGUUUGAAGAUUCUAGGUCAUUUGUGAUCUUUAGGAUUUUCUAUGUAGACAUUAAUGUCAUCUUCAAAUAUGAACAGUUUAUUUCUUCCUUUUGUAUAUGUAUGAAUUUACUUUCCUUUUCUUGCCUUAUUGCACUGGCUAGAGUUUUCAGUACUAUGAUGAAUAAAAUCAGUGAGAGCAGACACCCUUGCUUUGUUUCUAAUCUUAGGAGGAAAGCUUUCAGUCUUUCAUCAUUAGGUAUACUGUUAGUUGUAGGCUUAUUAUAGAUGCUCUUUAUCAGGUUGAGGCAGUUUCCUCCUUGGUUAAGACUUUCUAUUUUUCAUUUUCAGUUAUGACCAGGCAUGUUCAUAACUGCUCAUCAAAACUUUGAAUUAGUGGCUGCUUUAACAUCCUUCUCAGACAAUUCUAACAUCUGUUUUGUUGGUGGUGGCAUCUAUCAAUUGUCUUUUUCAUUCUGUUUGAGAUCUUCCUUGCGUUUGGUAUGAUUUUUUUAAAUAUUAUGUCAUGAAACUGCAUCUUAUUUAAAUCUUCUGUUUUAGUUGGCUAUGUCUGACAUCACUUCCCCAGGGGAAGGUGUUGUUACUGCUAGUGGAGGGUGAGAAUUAUGGCUCUCCACUGACAUUGUGGUGGGAUUGGUCCCAUUACCACUGGGCAGGGUUGAAAGUCCUGACUUUCUGCUAGGCCUUCUCUGACUUCAUCGCAGCAGGAGGAAAAGAUGCCUCUGGAGUUGAAGUCAGGUUGCACUGACACUGUGUGUGUAUGGAGGUAGGCUGGGGUGAAAGUGGAGACUCAUUACCACAUGGUGAGUAGUUUCCAGCUCUCUAUUUGGCCUUCUCUGAUACCACCCAGACAGGGACAUUGGGGAUACCUCAUUACAGCCUAGUGAGGGUCAAACUCUAGGCUCCCCACUCAGUCUUUGCUAUCAUGGACACUGUAGGACCAUAGUUUUUUCUGUGCUGUUUGCUUGAUGUGUCUUCCUUGGACCCUGAGUUCCAUAGCUGGUCUGCAUUCCUCUCUCCACCUUUAAGACGUCUUCUUAUGUUUAUUUCAUAUUUAACAUCCAGGGUGGUAAUUAGAGGGAAGAAUAGAGGGAAAAGUACAGUUGCACUUUGUUGUUCAAAGAGCAGUUUUGAACUGCACAGACCCAUUUCUCUGAGCACACCCAGGGAUGAUUGUACUUGUAUAAAAUUUUUUUCCUGGAUGCAGAAUUCUCAAUUGACUGUGAAAGUUCAUAACAAAGAAAACAGUGGGGAAGACAAAUCUGGAAAUGAGGAAAAUAAAAAUUAAAUAGUGAGACCACCCAUGGAGCUUGUGGCAAAGCCUGAAUUGAAUCCGCUGUAUCUUAAGAUUGUGCCUCAUUCUAAAUUUAAGUCACCCUUCUCAUUAUGAAAGUGUCACAACUUCUCAGUAGGUGAGGAGACAGUCUAAAUUUGAGAAAAGAAAGUUACAACAAAGGUUUUGAGCAAGCUGCUAAGUGGAUUUAUUCAUGUUUGAGAAAUCAAAUAUAUGGUUAAUGAGCUCUUUAACUAGAAGCCAACACUAGGGAGGAGUAGACAGAAGUCACGGGGAGGGAGCCCCCGGACAUUUCAAAAGACUUUGCCCUGCAACAUCUCCUCCACAUUUAAGCUUUUAGGUUAUUGUAGCCACAUCACAAGCAUGUUACCUACCCAGAUAUUGUCUGCGCAUCAUUCCCAAAAGCUUCCCUGGGUCUUCAUAAUAUUAAUGAGAUUCUCCCCCAGGUUAGACCCCUUUGGCUUGAGUCAGAAACAGAAUUAAUCCGGGGGACAAUCCAGCAGCACCCAUCUCUGGGUUGCAGAAAUAUCUGAGGUGACCAGGCAGUGUUUGGAGUCCCCUCAGUUAGCUAACAAAGUGAGUUCACAGCUUCCAAGACCCCAGGCUUUCCAGGCUAAUAAAGAGCUGAGGUUAUAGGCUCUCCUUAUCAAACGCUCUUUGGCAGCUGCCAUAACCAUUCCAAGUCUAGUCCUAGAAUAGAAAUGACGCGGUUUCAGGAGCUGACAGAUGGAACUUUAAGCCUUCCUUCCUGCCACAUCUGAAGUUCUUUUUUAAAAAAAUAGAAAACCAUGACAAUAAACACUCCUUGAAUGCCCUGUGGAAAAGUGUACUCCUCAGAAUUCACUAAAGUGGGGUGAAGCAGUGGGUUGUGGUGCUGAGAAAACAUCUCUUCCCCUCGGCAGUAUAUUGGAAUCUCAUAGAAACUUCUGUGGCUGGGAAGCAAACAUGCUCUCUGCCCCAUUGCUCUUAUUCAUCUUUAGACCUGAUAAUACAGUUUGAACUUCAAGUUGCACUUUAAAUGGCAUGCAUUUUUA